Thunnus maccoyii (southern bluefin tuna) is the source of this 2356-nucleotide long non-coding RNA. RefSeq lists it as uncharacterized. The transcript is spliced from 3 exons. The record is from RefSeq and is a predicted model, not a curated record. Lineage: Eukaryota; Metazoa; Chordata; Actinopteri; Scombriformes; Scombridae.
UUUAUCAGCAAGAACAGAAUAGAUAUUAUCAUCUUUGGAUAUAACAACUAGCUAGCUGGCAAAUAAUAAAAAGUCAGACUCAGACCACGUCAUGUCUUCUGCAGAUCAGAGACGAGCCCCCACCACUGCCAAGAGGUUCUCGUCUUGUAUGUUUGUAUUGUCGUUGAUUUCACUCCCUUAGUACCCCCUUAAUCGGGCCCCUGCCACUCUAUUUGGCCGCCGGGAGUUUUAAAAGCCAGCAGCCUGUGUGUCUGUGAAUGCGUCAUGUUGUCGCACACUGUCAAGUUAACGAUCAAGGUGAUGUGUGUGUUUUUUUAAUCUAGGUAGGAGGUAAAGUACAAAUCGGCUGCAUUAAAACGCAAAGAGCGAGAGAGUAAGAAAAGAGGAUCAUCAAGCUAACGUUAUUGCUAGCACUACUAGCCUGACAGCGGCUAACGGAGAGGAGGAUGAAGAUUUAAAAAGGGACCGUGAUAUGUACAAAGUUGGUUAACCUGUUGGGAUUAUUUUGUUCUAUGGAGGAUGGUGGAAGACACAAAUGGACUAAUUUACACUAAACUACAGCAGGCUGAGCAGCGACAACACUUGCAUCAAGUCAACAUUUCUGAGAGCGCAGCUGGACUUGUAAUUCUGAUGCUCCAAAUUAUAUGGCAGUUCACAGGGAUAAAUGCUGAGAGAGGCACCCCGUCCUUUCACCAAAGACGGAGAAAGAUGACAUCAGUCAACUCUUGUGUAUUAAGUCUCUUAAAGAAACAAACAAACCUUUAUGAACACACACGUGGACAGUCUGGUUACAACUUGCAUUAGAGGGACUUUUCUUUUUUUUAAUGUAAAAUACCAAUUUAAAAAAAACAGGCACUGAUAAGAUGCAGUUAUUUGGUUACAAUAAUGUGGUGAGCAUUAGUACAUGGCAACAUGGAUGCAACACUGAAGAAUGGUGUGCUAUUUAUACUACUACAGUUUAUAAUACACAGUUUUUGUUUUUCAGGGGGGUCACAGGGAUAAAUGCUGAGAGAGGCACCCCGUCCUUUCACCAAAGACGGAGAAAGAUGACAUCAGUCAACCCUUGUGUAUUAAGUCUCCUAAAGAAAUUAAUGGACUUUUGAGUGGGACGUGAUAUGAAUCAGCAAACCCUCUCACCCACCCACACAAUCAGUCUCUUAGCCACACUUUUCAGUUACUCACUGAGUUAGUCUCGGUUACUCGUAAUGACUGUCACUCACUCAGUCACUUUCUCAGUCAUUCACUCGAUCAUUACAAACCUUUAUAAACACACACUUUGGACAGUCUGGUUACAACUUGCAUUGUCAUAUCCUAUAUUUUUGUGUGUAUAUCUGUUGAUUUAUAAUGUUUUUCUGUUCAACAGUCUAAGAGCAGCAUGGUGAAGUACUGUAGCUAAGACUCUGUAUCUUGGUAAGACUGUUAGCCCCAGCUAAUUAUGGUCAGAGUGAACGCUCUGGCUGUCCUCAAAAGGAAGGGGCUCAGGACUCGGGUGGUGAUUUGAUCUCAACUAAACUCCCAUUCUUCCCCUUCGCCCCCCCUUUAUACAGUGAACCCAAUGUGCUAGAUGAGUCCCAGGGCCUUCUGCAGGAGGGUAACCUCUCUAGGUACAGUGGCCCUCUCUCUGUGUAUGUCCCUUUGGUGCGUUCUUGCAUCUGUCCGCCACUGGGAGGGGCAUCGCCUUGGGACAGCCUCCUCUAUUGGCCGCCCUCACCGUUGAUCACUCAUCCACAUCCAAUCAAAUCGCCUUGGCCCGUCACACCUCCCCCAUGCCACCUCCCACUUACCUGUCUCUAUCUCUUUCUGUGUGGGUCCAGUGUGCCUUGUCUCUGUCCCCCCAAAAAAACUUCCUGGCAUUAGUGAGACAGCAUUGAUAAUGACAGAAAUCGUCUCACUCAAUUAAGGAAACCAGGAUUUAAAUCCACCAUCGACUUGUUUAAUGUACAUACAUUUGAAUGCAGUUUUAGAGUCUGGCUUCAGUGGUAGUUAAACCAAAACUGAGUUUACUGCAGCUGACAGCUGUCCAAAAUAUUUGGAUACAUGGAGAUUAAAGAGGGUUAACUUAUGCAGUGGGAAAGGACACCGCUUCUCUUUGUGCUUUCAAUUCAGUUCAUUCAAUACAAAACUUAAAUUGUACUGUUAUUAAUAAUAACUGAGCUCUAAAGACAUGUGGUCGAAAGAAUUUCAGAGGAGCAUCAGCAUUUUUAUUCAGAGGGCCAUUGGACUAUUUCAUCAUGAGUUCCCUUUAAAUGUAAGGUGUCUAUGUCAAAUUAUGUCUUCUUUGUGUAAAGUUCAAAUAAAGCGACAGUAUAUCAGACUGUUUCUGGAAUAUCAGAUUAAAUGGAUAUUGUUUACAGUA